Molecule: ribosomal RNA, 468 nt
Filed under: uncultured bacterium
Lineage: Bacteria
Description: partial 16S ribosomal RNA
Rfam family: Bacterial small subunit ribosomal RNA
Source: RNAcentral
GACGAACGCUGGCGGCGUGCUUAACACAUGCAAGUCGAACGGAAAGGCCCUGCUUUCGUGGUGUUCUCGAGUGGCAAACGGGUGAGUCACAUGUGUGUACCGUGCUCUACACUUUGGUAUACCUUCAGGAAACUGGGGCUAAUCCCGUAUAGGAGCUCCUGCUGCAUGGUGUGGGUUGGAAUUUUUUGGCGGUUGGGGAUGGACUCGCGGCUUAUCAGCUUGUUGGUGGGGUAGUGGCUUACCAAGGCUUUGACGGGUAGCCGGCCUGAGAGGGUGACCGGCCACAUUGGGACUGAGAUACGGCCCAGACUCCUACGGGAGGCAGCAGUGGGGAAUAUUGCACAAUGGGCGGAAGCCUGAUGCAGCGACGCCGCGUGCGGGAUGACGGCCUUCGGGUUGUAAACCGCUUUCGCUUGGGACGAAGCGUGAGUGACGGUAAUUGGUAAAGAAGCACCGGCUAACUACGUG